Molecule: ribosomal RNA, 274 nt
Filed under: uncultured bacterium
Lineage: Bacteria
Description: partial 16S ribosomal RNA
Rfam family: Bacterial small subunit ribosomal RNA
Source: RNAcentral
CUACGGAGGGUGCAAGCGUUACUCGGAAUCACUGGGCGUAAAGCGCGCGCAGGCGGCUAUUUAAGUUGGAUGUGAAAGCCUACGGCUCAACCGUAGAACUGCAUCCAAAACUAUUUAGCUAGAGUGUGGGAGAGGAAGAUGGAAUUAGUUGUGUAGAGGUAAAAUCCGUAGAGAUAACUAGGAAUACCAAAAGCGAAGGCAAUCUUCUGGAACACUACUGACGCUGAGGCGCGAAAGCGUGGGGAGCAAACGGGAUUAGAAACCCCAGUAGUCC